UACAGAGGGUGCAAGCGUUGUUCGGAAUUAUUGGGCGUAAAGCGCGUGUAGGCGGCUUUGCAAGUCGGGUGUGAAAGCCCUCAGCUCAACUGAGGAAGGGCGCCCGAAACUGCAGAGCUUGAGUACCGGAGAGGGUGGCGGAAUUCCCCAAGUAGAGGUGAAAUUCGUAGAUAUGGGGAGGAACACCGGUGGCGAAGGCGGCCACCUAGACGGUCACUGACGCUGAGACGCGAAAGCGUGGGUAGCAAACAGG
RNAcentral lists this ribosomal RNA (253 nucleotides) under uncultured bacterium. RNAcentral's name for it is "partial 16S ribosomal RNA". It matches the Rfam family "Bacterial small subunit ribosomal RNA", at positions 524 to 776 of the family's 1533-position model. The record is from RNAcentral.